CGGGACACGUGGUAUCCUGUCUGAAUAUGGGGGGACCAUCCUCCAAGGCUAAAUACUCCUGACUGACCGAUAGUGAACCAGUACCGUGAGGGAAAGGCGAAAAGAACCCCGGCGAGGGGAGUGAAAAAGAACCUGAAACCGUGUACGUACAAGCAGUGGGAGCACGCUUAGGCGUGUGACUGCGUACCUUUUGUAUAAUGGGUCAGCGACUUAUAUUCUGUAGCAAGGUUAACCGAAUAGGGGAGCCGAAGGGAAACCGAGUCUUAACUGGGCGUUAAGUUGCAGGGUAUAGACCCGAAACCCGGUGAUCUAGCCAUGGGCAGGUUGAAGGUUGGGUAACACUAACUGGAGGACCGAACCGACUAAUGUUGAAAAAUUAGCGGAUGACUUGUGGCUGGGGGUGAAAGGCCAAUCAAACCGGGAGAUAGCUGGUUCUCCCCGAAAGCUAUUUAGGUAGCGCCUCGUGAAUUCAUCUCCGGGGGUAGAGCACUGUUUCGGCAAGGGGGUCAUCCCGACUUACCAACCCGAUGCAAACUGCGAAUACCGGAGAAUGUUAUCACGGGAGACACACGGCGGGUGCUAACGUCCGUCGUGAAGAGGGAAACAACCCAGACCGCCAGCUAAGGUCCCAAAGUCAUGGUUAAGUGGGAAACGAUGUGGGAAGGCCCAGACAGCCAGGAUGUUGGCUUAGAAGCAGCCAUCAUUUAAAGAAAGCGUAAUAGCUCACUGGUCGAGUCGGCCUGCGCGGAAGAUGUAACGGGGCUAAACCAUGCACCGAAGCUGCGGCAGCGACGCUGAUGCGUUGUUGGGUAGGGGAGCGUUCUGUAAGCCUGUGAAGGUGUGCUGUGAGGCAUGCUGGAGGUAUCAGAAGUGCGAAUGCUGACAUAAGUAACGAUAAAGCGGGUGAAAAGCCCGCUCGCCGGAAGACCAAGGGUUCCUGUCCAACGUUAAUCGGGGCAGGGUGAGUCGACCCCUAAGGCGAGGCCGAAAGGCGUAGUCGAUGGGAAACAGGUUAAUAUUCCUGUACUUGGUGUUACUGCGAAGGGGGGACGGAGAAGGCUAUGUUGGCCGGGCGACGGUUGUCCCGGUUUAAGCGUGUAGGCUGGUUUUCCAGGCAAAUCCGGAAAAUCAAGGCUGAGGCGUGAUGACGAGGCACUACGGUGCUGAAGCAACAAAUGCCCUGCUUCCAGGAAAAGCCUCUAAGCAUCAGGUAACAUCAAAUCGUACCCCAAACCGACACAGGUGGUCAGGUAGAGAAUACCAAGGCGCUUGAGAGAACUCGGGUGAAGGAACUAGGCAAAAUGGUGCCGUAACUUCGGGAGAAGGCACGCUGAUAUGUAGGUGAAGCGACUUGCUCGUGGAGCUGAAAUCAGUCGAAGAUACCAGCUGGCUGCAACUGUUUAUUAAAAACACAGCACUGUGCAAACACGAAAGUGGACGUAUACGGUGUGACGCCUGCCCGGUGCCGGAAGGUUAAUUGAUGGGGUCAGCGCAAGCGAAGCUCUUGAUCGAAGCCCCGGUAAACGGCGGCCGUAACUAUAACGGUCCUAAGGUAGCGAAAUUCCUUGUCGGGUAAGUUCCGACCUGCACGAAUGGCGUAAUGAUGGCCAGGCUGUCUCCACCCGAGACUCAGUGAAAUUGAACUCGCUGUGAAGAUGCAGUGUACCCGCGGCAAGACGGAAAGACCCCGUGAACCUUUACUAUAGCUUGACACUGAACAUUGAGCCUUGAUGUGUAGGAUAGGUGGGAGGCUUUGAAGUGUGGACGCCAGUCUGCAUGGAGCCGGCCUUGAAAUACCACCCUUUAAUGUUUGA
Molecule: ribosomal RNA, 1814 nt
Filed under: Escherichia coli
Lineage: Bacteria; Pseudomonadati; Pseudomonadota; Gammaproteobacteria; Enterobacterales; Enterobacteriaceae
Description: partial 23S ribosomal RNA
Rfam family: Bacterial large subunit ribosomal RNA
Source: RNAcentral